CACCACAUCCCUCCAUAAGAGGCCAGGCACUGGACAGAAGGUAUAGGACCCAGUGAAGCUCUUGAGCGGGUUCCUCUAAGAUGAGGCCUUGGCAUAGAGCUGCAGGGGCAGUCGAGAGGGCAGAACUCGGGGGAAAGGGAGGUAGAUGGACACCCCCUAUAAUCUGAUGCAAACCCAGUGACCUCAGGAAUUCAGUAAACCCCCUUCCCCUGGCCCAGAGUUGCAA
RNAcentral lists this long non-coding RNA (226 nucleotides) under Homo sapiens (human). RNAcentral describes it as "HSALNT0164511". Lineage: Eukaryota; Metazoa; Chordata; Mammalia; Primates; Hominidae. The record is from RNAcentral.